This 477-nucleotide ribosomal RNA is filed under the name uncultured bacterium. RNAcentral's name for it is "partial 16S ribosomal RNA". It matches the Rfam family "Bacterial small subunit ribosomal RNA", at positions 28 to 507 of the family's 1533-position model. The record is from RNAcentral.
GACGAACGCUGGCGGCGUGCUUAACACAUGCAAGUCGAACGGUGAAGCGCCUUCCUUUUUGGUGGGUGUGGAUGAGUGGCGAACGGGUGAGUAACACGUGAGUAACCUGCACCCUUCUUCUGGAUAACCGCAUGAAAGUGUGGCUAAUACGGGAUAUUCUGGGUCUGUCGCAUGAUGGGUCUGGGACAGCUAUUGUUUCGGUGGGGGAUGGGUUUGGGGCGUAUCAGCUUGUUGGUGGGGUGAUGGCCUACGACGGCGUUGACGGGUAGCCGGCCUGAGAGGGACACAGGCACGACCGGGACUGCUAUGGGGGGCAGCAUUGUGCGAGAGGGCGCAGUGGGGGCUAGUGUACAGCAGCGGGGCCGCUGAUGGAGUAAAGGCGUGCGGGUUGUGAACCUCUUUCGCCAGUAAAGCGGGCCUGCCUCGGUUGUGGGUGGAUUGACGGUAACGGGAUAAGAAGCACCGGCUAACUACGUG